ACUGGGANUGAGACACGGCCCAGACUCNUACGGGAGGCAGCAGUGGGGAAUCUUGCGCAAUGGGCGAAAGCCUGACGCAGCAACGCCGCGUGCGGGAUGAAGGCCUUCGGGUUGUAAACCGCUUUCAGCAGGGACGAAACUGACGGUACCUGCAGAAGAAGCACCGGCCAACUACGUGCCAGCAGCCGCGGUAAUACGUAGGGUGCAAGCGUUGUCCGGAUUUAUUGGGCGUAAAGAGCUCGUAGGCGGCUUGGCAAGUCGGGUGUGAAAACUACAGGCUCAACCUGUAGAUGCCACUCGAGACUGCUAUGGCUAGAGUCUGGUAGGGGAGCACGGAAUUCCUGGUGUAGCGGUGAAAUGCGCAGAUAUCAGGAGGAACACCGGUGGCGAAGGCGGUGCUCCUGGGCCAG
RNAcentral lists this ribosomal RNA (410 nucleotides) under uncultured soil bacterium C042. RNAcentral describes it as "bacterial SSU rRNA". It matches the Rfam family "Bacterial small subunit ribosomal RNA", at positions 312 to 737 of the family's 1533-position model. The record is from RNAcentral.